Long non-coding RNA from Hippocampus comes (tiger tail seahorse), 898 nucleotides. RefSeq lists it as uncharacterized. Lineage: Eukaryota; Metazoa; Chordata; Actinopteri; Syngnathiformes; Syngnathidae. The record is from RefSeq and is a predicted model, not a curated record. The transcript has 3 exons.
GACUGCAGCUGGAAGUCUCGAUUGGUGCCUCGGGUAUACUUUCCAGCAGGAGUGAAAAGGAGGGGAAGCCUUCUCCGAAUUGGGUAGGAGUGGAAUGCAGGAAGGAGCCAGAUGUUGGCAGACGUUUGCAGCGAAGUCUCCCAAUGGUCGGGAGCUCGAGUCAGCAAAUAGUGAGAAUAGGAGCUGUCAGCCACAUGGAGACACUUAAAGGUAAAUGAGAAAGUUUUGGCUCUGAUACUAUAUUAUAUUACAGGACCUAUGACCUCAUAAGGCAUAUGUUUGUUUUCAUGAACGCAUAAGAGUGCACUUUGAUUUUACUGGACCUGAAUCCCCAGUAGACUGAGUUGAAAAUAAGCGUUCAAGGUCCCUCUGUCCCUUCAGCACAAGCUGUACCUGCAAAUAGAAAAACAACCCAAAACAAAGCUCACACACACACUGAAGGGCUAACAGAUGCACAGUGAGGAAACUCUCCCCACUUUGGCCUGUGCAAACAGGGUCAUCAAAGUCUGAGUGUGCCACUUCCCUGAGGGUGGGCAGCAGCGCCCGGUGGUCCCAGGCACAAAGCUGGCCGCAGGCAAGGCGGAAAAUGAAAAGGACGCAUGAAAGUCACGGAUGGAUUCUUUCUUCAGCCCACCUCUGGCUUGAUGUUACCCAUCCAGACUCGCGUGUGUACAUGCUCACUUUGCUCUACUUGGCAGGACAAAACAGCUCCCCCUCUAUAGACUCUUAAAACCAAGCUCUUCCUGACACAACCUCAGCACUUUUAUUCAGCCUUGGGGCUGGCCGUAGUUGGAAAUCAGCAUAUUAGUUACACGGCCUUAUGGAUUUAUCAUGUCAUUUGAUGACCCGAUAAAGGGGUGGGAGUCAAACCUUGAUGAAACAUUCUCAGCUUUUCACA